UAGGGCAAAAAUGCAUCUUACAAGAUUAAUCUUAAUGAUAACUCAAUGUAUUCAGAAUGGGGCACUGUGGUUGCUGAACUUUGAUGUAAGAUUAAAUCUAUCCUAUUUUAAGGUGAGAUUAUACUGAGUAAACAGCCUUGUUCUUCCCCUUGUUGAUUAAUGAUCUAUAUUUACACAAGUCUAAUAGUUGUUUUCAGGCAGAACGUCAAAGGUUAUGUAAUUCUAAAUUGGAAAUGCGUAUAAAAUAAUAGCACUGUCAUUAGAGGACUUUAUCUCUUAAUUUUAUUGCCACAGGAGGAUUGACUUCUACUGUAUAAAUAGAGGUAAAUAGAAGAUGAUGCACUCACUGAUGAAUUAAGCAAAUCUAUGCAUUCUACUGAUGGUGCUGGUAGACAUGAGAAUGGUGAAUUCUGAGGAAGAAGCAGCUGGUGUGUUGACCCACUUCUAACUGAGGACUGAAAAUGCCAGCAGUUGAAAGUGAGGCAAAGGCAAAAACCAAAGUCCGCUUUGAGGAAAUCUUCAGACGCCAUGCUGGCCUGACAGAAAGAAAUAAAUCAAAGAAUAAGAAGUUUCAGUCUCAAGAGAAUAUCGUGGUGAGUUUGAACACAUGCAAGCUUUGUUUGGUUGCUUUCCUUAAUGAAAAAAAGAUCAAACAAAUGUAUUGUAGAAAGGAGAUGUAGGCAUUUUUAAAAAA
RNAcentral lists this long non-coding RNA (694 nucleotides) under Calidris pygmaea (Spoon-billed sandpiper). RNAcentral describes it as "lncRNA (ENSCPGG00000000772.1)". The record is from RNAcentral. Lineage: Eukaryota; Metazoa; Chordata; Aves; Charadriiformes; Scolopacidae.